GAUGGUUGCUUGUUCUAGACUUAGUUCUUCAAGGUUGGGUAGUCUUGAAAGUGUAUCGGAUGUCACAACGAGCCCUAUCAACUUCAGUAUCUUCAAGCUCAAAGGGAAGCCAUGUGUAUAUUCAGCGAAUGAAUUCCGAGGAAAAACAAAUAAAUUGAGUUGUUCAAGUUCAUUAAGGACAUCCAAUCUUGGAAAACAUAUCUUCUCUUGUAUCUUCUCUUGUAUUUGUUUGCAGAUAUGGACUUGAAGGAUUUUAAGAUUAGGAAACCUUUUGA
Molecule: unclassified non-coding RNA, 275 nt
Filed under: Hevea brasiliensis (rubber tree)
Lineage: Eukaryota; Viridiplantae; Streptophyta; Magnoliopsida; Malpighiales; Euphorbiaceae
Source: RNAcentral